Arachis ipaensis is the source of this 723-nucleotide long non-coding RNA. RefSeq lists it as uncharacterized. The record is from RefSeq and is a predicted model, not a curated record. Lineage: Eukaryota; Viridiplantae; Streptophyta; Magnoliopsida; Fabales; Fabaceae.
AGUACACUAACCCCUCCCUUAUUUCUCCACGCUUCUUUUCUUUCCACCGUUCAUUCCCGCAGGAAUACACUCCACAUAAAUAAAUUUGCACACAGAAAAGAAAGAAAUUAGAGAUAACAGGGGAAGAGGAAUAGAGAGAGAGCGAGAAUGCAAAGGGAAAAAGGGGAAGGGGGGAGCAGCGCCGGUGGGCACCAUAGGCACCGCGGCUACUGUUGCUGCCUCACAGGAGAGUGAAGGAGAAGUAGAAGACGAAAAAUGAGGUAGAAAAGGGAGGAAGUGUCGUCCCUGUUGUCACCAAGCACCGCCACCGCCCAAGGGGAAAGCUCAGUCGUUAACAUCAAUUCUGCCUGGACCACCGCUGCCAAACCCUAGCCAUCACUGUCGCCACUGCACGUAAGAAGGGGGCGGCACCGCUGAUGACCGUUGAGUUGGAGCUGUCACAUACACGAGAAUUUCCGGGAAUCGUUGCUGCCAUGUUCCCAUUCCAAUUAGAGUCGCUUCUACUUUUGAUUCUAUUGAAUUUGAAAUCUUCGUUUCGUUGAGACCAUGAUCACUGCUAUGGGAACUAACUCCGCUGCUAUCUUGAUUGAAACUGUUGCAUAGCUAGUAGUGGUCCAGCCAGCUGCCUCGUCAUAAUCCCGCCUCCGGAUUCUUUUAAUCGCGACAUCGAGCAACAGGUUUGAAGACGCAAUUUGAAGCUGCGAGCGAUCAGUAGGCUUUCUU